RNAcentral lists this ribosomal RNA (510 nucleotides) under uncultured bacterium. Its description in RNAcentral is "partial 16S ribosomal RNA". It matches the Rfam family "Bacterial small subunit ribosomal RNA", at positions 28 to 507 of the family's 1533-position model. The record is from RNAcentral.
GACGAACGCUGGCGGCGUGCUUAACACAUGCAAGUCGAACGAAGAGCGAUGGAAGCUUGCUUCUAUCAAUCUUAGUGGCGCACGGGUGAGUAACGCGUAAUCAACCUGCCCUUCAGAGGGGGACAACAGUUGGAAACGACUGCUAAUACCGCAUACGAUCUAACCUCGGCAUCGAGGAAAGAUGAAAGGUGGCCUCUAUGUAUAAGCUAUCACUGAAGGAGGGGAUUGCGUCUGAUUAGCUAGUUGGAGGGGUAACGGCCCACCAAGGCGAUGAUCAGUAGGCUGGCCGGGGGGAAGAACCGGCCCAACGGGAAUGGAGAACCGGCCAGAACUCUUAGGGGAGGAGCCAUGGGGGAACUUCCGAAAUGGGGGGAAGUCCGGCGGAAGAAAGCCGGGGGGGUGAUGGCGGGCUUCGGGUUGUAAAAGUCUGUUUGUCGGGACAGAAGGGCUUCUUGCGAAUAGUGCGAAGGAUUGACGGUACCGGAAGAAAAAGCAACGGCUAACUACGUG